UAAAGCGGGUGAAAAGCCCGCUCGCCGGAAGACCAAGGGUUCCUGUCCAACGUUAAUCGGGGCAGGGUGAGUCGACCCCUAAGGCGAGGCCGAAAGGCGUAGUCGAUGGGAAACAGGUUAAUAUUCCCGUACUUGGUGUUACUGCGAAGGGGGGACGGAGAAGGCUAUGUUGGCCGGGCGACGGUUGUCCCGGUUUAAGCGUGUAGGCUGGUUUUCCAGGCAAAUCCGGAAAAUCAAGGCUG
This 242-nucleotide ribosomal RNA is filed under the name Salmonella enterica subsp. enterica. RNAcentral describes it as "partial 23S ribosomal RNA". It matches the Rfam family "Bacterial large subunit ribosomal RNA", at positions 1313 to 1558 of the family's 2925-position model. The record is from RNAcentral. Lineage: Bacteria; Pseudomonadati; Pseudomonadota; Gammaproteobacteria; Enterobacterales; Enterobacteriaceae. RNAcentral also lists the same sequence under 1 other name.